GACGAACGCUGGCGGCGGGCUUAACACAUGCAAGUCGAACGGUGAAGCUCUAGCUGCUUGGAGUGGAUCAUUGGCGAACGGGUGAGUAACACGAGAGCAACCUGCCCUACACUUUCGAAUAAGCUCUGGAAGCGGCGCCUAAUACUGGAUACGAGAAGGCUCCGCAUGGGAACCUUCUGAAAAGCGUUUCUGGUGGGGCUGGGCUCGCGGCUUAUCAGCUUGUUGGUGAGGUAAUGGCAGCCCAAGGGGGCGACGGAUAGCCGGCCUGGGAGGGGGAACGGGCACCAUGGGCCUGCGAGACGGACCAGACUCCUACGGUAGGCAGCAGUGGGGAAUAUUGCACAGUGGGCGCGAGCCUGAUGAAGAGACGCCGCGUGAGGGAUGACGGCCUUCGGGUUGUAAAAAUCUUUAAGCAGGGAAGAAGCGAAAGUGACGGUACCUGCAGAAGAAGCACCGGCUAACUACGUG
RNAcentral lists this ribosomal RNA (468 nucleotides) under uncultured bacterium. RNAcentral describes it as "partial 16S ribosomal RNA". It matches the Rfam family "Bacterial small subunit ribosomal RNA", at positions 28 to 507 of the family's 1533-position model. The record is from RNAcentral.